Molecule: long non-coding RNA, 4198 nt
Organism: Leucoraja erinaceus (little skate)
Lineage: Eukaryota; Metazoa; Chordata; Chondrichthyes; Rajiformes; Rajidae
Exons: 4
Source: RefSeq, a predicted model, not a curated record
AAAUAGGGUAACUAGCUUUAGUUUGCAGCAUAAUAAAACAGAAAUUCUAUAUAGGGAAUGUAAAUCCCAAUCUUCACGGCCAAAAUGAGAAUAAUUUCAUAAAUAAAUCCCAAACAAUACCCAUUCUGCAACAGAACAAAUUAAAAUCUACUCAAAACCAAAAUAAUGUGCUCAUUAAAACUUUGCAUAGACUUCGCCAUGUUUAAACUAAACUGAAUGUACCAGGUCAGGCAACAAUUAGACAAGGAUUAGAAACCCAAGCAAGCCAUUUCAAAGUCCUCCUACUACAAAGUUGUAUGUACAUACAAUGUAAAUAAUAACUUUCAUUACACCAAUUCAAAAAUUUAUAUUGAUAUAGAAUGCAAACGUUGGGAAUAGGAACAGCCGUGGAAGGGAACUCCAAGAUCUUAAAGAAAAAAGUGAAACCUGCGGCAUCAGCAGGUAAAUAAUUGAUUAUGUGCAUUCCAUUCAUUGCAAUUGGAAAAACAACUCCAGAUGUUGAAAAUCAGAGAGCGUGAUCAUUUUGUGUUAAUAAAAUAGGUAAAAAGGGCAAUGACAUACUCAAACUUUAGGCAGUAGAGUAAUAAAGCAGCAAUAUCACAAUAGAUAAUAAUCUCCAGAUUAUUGUAGGUAUCACAGACAAGCGAAUAAAAGACAAUAAUGCAGAAAACAGGGUUCAAAAUGCCUCGUGGAAUUGAACUAGGUUUGGAAAGGUGCUUCCAGUAAAAAAUGUAUGCCUAUAUAGUUUAUAUGGUCUGCACAAUGCCUCCGCUUUAUCACAUUCCUGCCAAUCUCUGCCUGUGGCUUCCUGUAUUGUUCCAAGAAGACCCAAGUUCAAGAAAUAUCUUCCCUCUGGUACAUUGAACGAUUUCUGCCCGCCAUCAUUUCACGUCCUUUCGGAUACAUGGCAUGGUGGUGCAGCAGUAGAGUUGCUGCCUUACAGUGCCAGAGCCCCGGGUUCAAUCCUGACCAUGGGUGCUGUCUGUAUGGAGUUUGUACGUUCUCCCCUUGACUGCUUGGGUUUUCUUGGAGAUCUUCGGUUUCCUCCACACUCCAAAGACGUACAGAAUCAUGCCAACAACAACAACAUAUACAGCCAGUCACUUAAUCUAUUCGCACCAGCCACAUCUUCACCUUAUGGACUAAUAGAUCCUGACCUCGGGUGCUCUCUGUGUUAAGUUUGCACGUUUUCCUUUGACCACGUGGGUUUCCUCCCACAUCCCAAAUUGGGCUUUGUAAAUUACCCCUAGUGUUUAGGGAGUGCAUAAAGGUAAAACACAGAACUGGUGUGAUGAUGAUCGAUGGUCACGUGGACUCAUUUGGCCGAAGGACCUGUUUCUGUGCUGUAUUGUUCAAUUCAAACAAUUAGAGAAAUUCUCUUUUACUACCACUUAGAAUAGGUUUUCUCUCUCAAGUUUCAAAACAUGUCCUUCUCUGAAACAUUGAAAAUGUUUCUCUUUGUCACUUAACCCAUUUAGUUUCUCCAUUUAUCAAUUUGUUUUUAAUAUUAUGUUGGCUCAGCUCGUCUCAUCCUGCUACAUAUGCAAGUCUAACCUGUCCACCACCCUGUCAUUAACACUACUGACUAACUUGCCAACGUGCUUGCUGCUGUUGCCAUCAAGCCAUUUCAAGUCAUGCUAUCACUGACAUUCACUCCUACUGAAACCUAACUUGCAUCUCACUUUCACAAUUCUGACAAAAGGUUGCAAACCUAAAAUGCUGACCAUUUCUUUUCCUUCAGAUCAUGCCUGACCUGCUCAGUUUUUUCAGCAUUUUCCAUUUUUGUUCUUCGUUUCCACCACUGGUCUUUUUUUUCUCUUUACAAUAUUUAUUCUGUACUCUCUUUCCCCUCUCUGCUCCCACCAUUAAACAACUUCAAGCUUAUCUCCUACUCUCCAGCCAUCCCAUCCGAAAAUGCAGUCUUCAUGCCUGCCUCCUUCCCUCCACCUCCCACCCUCAAACAGCCGCAGGCAUCCCUCCAUCCUUCCACCAAAAUUCCAAUGACAACAGCGACAGACACGCUAUCCUGUGAUAGUGACAAAGGAUAUCCACGUUUUCAACAAGAUGUAGAUCAGUUGGACCAAGGCAUGGCAAAUAGAAUUUAACGCUUGACAAGUGAGAGGUGUUGCAUUUUGGCAUGUCAAAUUAGGGCAGGAUUUACAGAGUCAAUGGUACAGCCUUGAAGACUGAUGCAGAACAGAGAUAUCUGGGAGUACAGGUGCAGGGUUCCUGAAAGAUGGCGAGUCAGGUGAACAGUGUGGUGGAGAAGACCUUUAGCAUCUUGCCUUCAUUGAGAAGGGUACUGGAUACAAAGAUAGGCCAAGCAGAUCGUGGGUGAGCGAGAGAUCCCGGCUUCACAGUGGACGAGGACCUUCCCUUCUGUACAUCCUUUUAUUUUGAGGCCGUGCCCUCUGGUCCUAAAUUCUCGCACUAGUGGAAUCAUCCUCUCCACAUCCACUCUAUCCAGGCUUUUCACUAUUUGUUCACAUGGGUUCCCAUGGAUUUCUUGACCUCUGUGAACACUGGUAUCGGUUCAUAUUCAUCCAUUGGAAAGUGGUAUUCUCACAAAUUAUCAAAACACUAAGUGCUGGAGGAACUCACCAGCUAGAUAGCGGUCCUGACCUCCCUUCGAUCUCGUUGGAGGCCUUCGAACUAUCAUUAAUUGGACUUUACUUUACUCUUAACAUUACACCAUUUAUUCUGCAUUUGUACACUGUGGGCGGCUUCAUUUUAAUCAUGUAUAGACAUUUCGUUGACUGGAUAGCAAGCAACAAAAAAGCUCUGCACUGUACCUCGAUACACGUGUUAAUAAUAAUAAUAAAUAAAACUACAAAUGGACAAAUGACUUUUCAGGUCGGGACCCUUCUUCAGUCACUUGUGUUCUCACAAAUAAUGUGGAAGAAGCAUCUCAGCUUAAUUGAAAAUUUCCUGUGUAGGGAAUCUGCUUUCUAAAAUGUAAGGAAACUAAUGUGUUUAGAUGUUGGGCCUUGCACCAUUCUAAGCUGCUCAUUCCCUAUCUAUGUUCCACAGUGAAUUCAAUAGGUAUUUAAUUCAGAAUACAAAUGGGUGUAAACAUUAACCACAGUAACAUUGGCAUAGGGAAAUCAAUGCUCCAGAAAAAGGUUUAAAAAUCAGAAAAACAAAUGGUAAACAAUCUCUAGGGGUCACUUUAAGAUCUCUAUCCUAUGAUGCCUAUAAUUAAAUGAACAGUCAGAGCUAACAAAGAGACACCAGCCACAUCUAAUCAUAUCCUGUUAAAGUGGUGGACCGUCUUAUUUGCGUGGGCACAUGCAAGCUAAUAUCAUUAAGCAUAAGUGACCCACUGUGAUGAUCUGUCUAGCUGGGCAGAACAAUGAGACACAGGAUUAAAUUAUUCAUUUCGGAUAUUUAUAUGGAUGAGUUUUUGUACAAAUUUAGUUUAAUUAUUGGAACUCAAGCACUUCACUAUUCAUGUAAUGUUUGCACUUAUUCCUCUCUGCCUUCUUGCUGCUACCCACUUCCUGCAGUGUUUUUAGCAGCUCUUACUCUCAGGCCAUUUACACAACUGCAGAUACCGGAUCUUUUGAAUCUGAGAAUCGUACAAUGACGCAGAAAGCAUACCGCUCAAUUUGCUGUGCUGAAUGAGAGGUGCAAUUGCAAUUUUCUGUAUAUUGUUAGUCACACCACAGUCACAGUCACAGUCAUGGGUGAACCAGAAACCAGGUUCAUACGUAUAGGAAAGAAAAAAACCAAAGUAGAAAUCUCACUGGGCCAUUAUUUUCUGAUGCUGAUCAUAUUGUAGAUAUGUUUGAGCAAAUGCUUUAUCUACCCACUAGAAAGCAAGUGAAAUUAAAAGAUAUUUUUUGAUGAUGGAGUGUGCCGAUGGCACAUAUAACAGUUUCCUCCUGCCAUGAAUGAUGUUUCUUAUUUUAAAUGGCCCUGUCCCCAUAGAUGGCAUCCAUCGUAUGACUCUUCAUCAGAUCUCUACUUAAAAACUAAAAUCCCGUCUUCUUAGCUGUUCAAUCAGUGGUCUGGCGUCUGGAGUGAUACCAGAAGAUGGAUGGGGGCGCAAGAACUGGCAGAUGCUGCAAUCUUGAGCUAAACACAAACUGAAGGAGCAAUUCAGUGGGUCACGCAGCAUCUGUGAACGGAAUGGAUAGGCGACCUUUCGGGUCGGAACCAGACUGAUUAUAGUGAGAGCGAGAAAGUUGGAAAAAGA